Molecule: transfer RNA, 75 nt
Filed under: Candidatus Pelagibacterales bacterium
Lineage: Bacteria; Pseudomonadati; Pseudomonadota; Alphaproteobacteria; Candidatus Pelagibacterales
Description: tRNA-Glu
Rfam family: tRNA
About the family: Transfer RNA (tRNA) molecules are approximately 80 nucleotides in length. Their secondary structure includes four short double-helical elements and three loops (D, anti-codon, and T loops).
Source: RNAcentral
GCUCCCUUCGUCUAGUGGUUAGGACGCUGCCCUCUCAAGGCGGAAACAGGGGUUCGAUUCCCCUAGGGAGCGCCA